UGCAGUGUACUAUGUAUAGAUGAUGAGAUGAAUGAUCACACCUGCUGUGGGCUGAGUCACAUCACUGUACCCACAGAUAUAGAUAUCACUAUAAGUACAAUCAUUUAAGAAAUGAUUAUGUUGAUAUUUUGCUAUGAAUAAUCUGAUGAUCAUGGAUUCAUGAUGCUUGCUUAUAGAUUAUCACAGCAUCAAAGAGUCAGACAGAAGAAAUUAAGAUGUGAAAGCAGUAUUGACAAAAUCUUUCACAGAAGAUGAUACAAGCAUGAAUAGAGUGGAUUCAUACUCAUAUUCAAAAGAUUAUAGAGCUAGA
This 310-nucleotide small RNA is filed under the name Histoplasma capsulatum. RNAcentral describes it as "hypothetical RNA". Lineage: Eukaryota; Fungi; Ascomycota; Eurotiomycetes; Onygenales; Ajellomycetaceae. RNAcentral also lists the same sequence under 1 other name. The record is from RNAcentral.